This 775-nucleotide ribosomal RNA is filed under the name uncultured bacterium. Its description in RNAcentral is "bacterial SSU rRNA". It matches the Rfam family "Bacterial small subunit ribosomal RNA", at positions 28 to 776 of the family's 1533-position model. The record is from RNAcentral.
GACGAACGCUGGCGGCGUGCCUAAUACAUGCAAGUCGAACGCUUUGAUUUUCACCGGAGCUUGCUCCACCGAAAAUCAAAGAGUGGCGGACGGGUGAGUAACACGUGGGCAACCUGCCCAACAGAGGGGGAUAACACUUGGAAACAGGUGCUAAUACCGCAUAAUUUGUUUUUCCGCAUGGAAGAAUAAUAAAAGACGCUUCGGUGUCACUGUUGGAUGGGCCCGCGCUGCAUUAGUUAGUUGGUGGGGUAACGGCCUACCAAGACCAUGAUGCAUAGCCGACCUGAGAGGGUGAUCGGCCACACUGGGACUGAGACACGGCCCAGACUCCUACGGGAGGCAGCAGUAGGGAAUCUUCGGCAAUGGACGAAAGUCUGACCGAGCAACGCCGCGUGAGUGAAGAAGGUUUUCGGAUCGUAAAACUCUGUUGUUAGAGAAGAACAAGUGAGAGAGUUACUGUUCUCACCUUGACGGUAUCUAACCAGAAAGCCACGGCUAACUACGUGCCAGCAGCCGCGGUAAUACGUAGGUGGCAAGCGUUGUCCGGAUUUAUUGGGCGUAAAGCGAGCGCAGGCGGUUUCUUAAGUCUGAUGUGAAAGCCCUCGGCUCAACCGAGGAAGGUCAUUGGAAACUGGGGAACUUGAGUGCAGAAGAGGAGAGUGGGAUUCCAUGUGUAGCGGUGAAAUGCGUAGAUAUAUGGAGGAACACCAGUGGCGAAGGCGACUCUCUGGUCUGUAACUGACGCUGAGGCUCGAAAGCGUGGGGAGCAAACAGG